Long non-coding RNA from Mus musculus (house mouse), 415 nucleotides. RefSeq annotates it as predicted gene, 30590. Lineage: Eukaryota; Metazoa; Chordata; Mammalia; Rodentia; Muridae. The transcript is spliced from 2 exons. The record is from RefSeq and is a predicted model, not a curated record.
CCGCGCCUCUCAUUCAUGCCGCGGGGGCGGGGUGUGGGACCCGGAUGCCCGGGCAAGUCCCGCCUCCUCACUGAGGGCGCGCGGCUUCAUUGUCGGCAAGUGCGCAGGCGCGGCGUCCCUUCCGCUGGGCUACUGGCUGCUCUAGAGGAUUGAUUCGUGAUGCCCAGCUAUAAGGUUCAUAUCUUCUCCGCUGUGUAGUGUUUUCCGUGUAUGUGGACGUUCGUAAGAGUUAAAAAAGUAAAGCUUCGCUUCUCGUAGCAUCCGGCCCAAGAGUCCUCAAAGAUGACCAUCUGUGGAAGCCAAGCAAGCUGUCCACCUCAGCUCCCCUAGCUAUUGGCGACGCUGCUCCUGCAACUGACACCACCCUUGGUAUACCACCAUAGCCACAAUGUCUUCCUCCUGAUUUUCCACCCAA